This 448-nucleotide long non-coding RNA is filed under the name Brassica napus (rape). RNAcentral's name for it is "long non-coding RNA (BNAP_LNC020438)". The record is from RNAcentral. Lineage: Eukaryota; Viridiplantae; Streptophyta; Magnoliopsida; Brassicales; Brassicaceae.
UGUGUUGCUUGUUUAUUACUGGCUUUGAUUUUGAGAUAAGACUAACUGAAAGUGUUCAAAAGAAACGUGCUUUAUUUCUCUCUUUUAUUUUUCCUUUACCUGAAUUAUGUUCUGUGUUUUGUUUUGAAAUGAGAAAGAAAUGUGGAUCUCUAAAGAGUUUUGAUGGUCCGGUGGAAACGGUUCUUGUGUUGUAUUUGUGCUUUUAAGUUUGUGAUUGUUAUGUUUUCUCUGGUUUCUGCACCAGAAAGAUUUUUUGUUCUAUGCUUUGUUGUGUUUGAGCUUUGAAGAUCUUUGAUGCUGUUUACUAUAAUUUUCUUUAUCAUAUGUUAAUUUUGAUAUUGCCAAUGGGUUGCUUUAGAUCCAGGGCCGGUUCAUUGGAGGGGACAAGCGGUGCGACCGUCCCGGGUCCAAGCCCGUGUCCCUUCGUAUAAUACUAAUUAAGGGGCCU